CUGUGGCAUGCGGAAGCGCCUGCUGCUUGUCCUUGAGGGGCAGGGCGAAGCGCUCGUUCCAGACGCGUGCCUCUGC
RNAcentral lists this transfer RNA (76 nucleotides) under Chitinimonas prasina. RNAcentral's name for it is "tRNA-Ser". The record is from RNAcentral. Lineage: Bacteria; Pseudomonadati; Pseudomonadota; Betaproteobacteria; Neisseriales; Chitinibacteraceae.